UACAGAGGGGGCAAGCGUUAUUCGGAAUUAUUGGGCGUAAAGGGCGCGUAGGCGGCCCAGCAAGUCAGGGGUGAAAUCCCUCGGCUCAACCGAGGAACUGCCUCUGAAACUGCAGGGCUUGAGACCGGGAGAGGGUGGUGGAAUUCCCAGUGUAGCGGUGAAAUGCGUAGAUAUUGGGAGGAACACCGGUGGCGAAGGCGGCCACCUGGACCGGUUCUGACGCUGAGGCGCGAAAGUGUGGGGAGCAAACAGG
RNAcentral lists this ribosomal RNA (253 nucleotides) under uncultured bacterium. Its description in RNAcentral is "partial 16S ribosomal RNA". It matches the Rfam family "Bacterial small subunit ribosomal RNA", at positions 524 to 776 of the family's 1533-position model. The record is from RNAcentral. RNAcentral also lists the same sequence under 1 other name.